UCCGAAAGGAUGGCUAAUACCGCAUAAGACCUGAGGGUGAAAGCCGGGGACCGCAAGGCCCGGCGCAGACGGAGCGGCCGAUGAUUGAUUAGCUAGUUGGGGAGGUAAAGGCUCACCAAGGCGACGAUCAAUAGCUGGUCUGAGAGGACGACCAGCCACACUGGAACUGAGACACGGUCCAGACUCCUACGGGAGGCAGCAGUGGGGAAUUUUGGACAAUGGGGGCAACCCUGAUCCAGCCAUGCCGCGUGCGGGGAGAAGGCCUUCGGGUUGUAAACCGCUUUUGUCAGGGACGAAAAGCUCCGGAGUAAUAUGCCGGAGUGCUGACGGUACCUGAAGAAUAAGCACCGGCUAACUACGUGCCAGCAGCCGCGGUAAUACGUAGGGUGCAAGCGUUAAUCGGAAUUACUGGGCGUAAAGCGUGCGCAGGCGGUUGGGUAAGACAGAUGUGAAAUCCCCGGGCUUAACCUGGGAACUGCAUUUGUGACUGUCCGACUGGAGUACGUCAGAGGGGGGUGGAAUUCCACGUGUAGCAGUGAAAUGCGUAGAUAUGUGGAAGAACACCGAUGGCGAAGGCAGCCCCGU
RNAcentral lists this ribosomal RNA (585 nucleotides) under uncultured organism. Its description in RNAcentral is "bacterial SSU rRNA". It matches the Rfam family "Bacterial small subunit ribosomal RNA", at positions 150 to 730 of the family's 1533-position model. The record is from RNAcentral.